RNAcentral lists this ribosomal RNA (199 nucleotides) under uncultured bacterium. RNAcentral's name for it is "partial 16S ribosomal RNA". It matches the Rfam family "Bacterial small subunit ribosomal RNA", at positions 1302 to 1500 of the family's 1533-position model. The record is from RNAcentral.
AGUCUGCAACUCGACUGCAUGAAGCUGGAAUCGCUAGUAAUCGCGAAUCAGCAUGUCGCGGUGAAUACGUUCCCGGGUCCUGUACACACCGCCCGUCACACCAUGGGAGUCGGAAAUGCCCGAAGUCUGUGACCUAACCGUAAGGAAGGAGCAGCCGAAGGCAGGUCGGAUGACUGGGGUGAAGUCGUAACAAGGUACC